AGCUUUAUAUUCAAUAUAUGAUUUUAAAUUGCAAAUUUAAAGUAAGAUGGUACAUCUUAAAGCUU
RNAcentral lists this transfer RNA (65 nucleotides) under Staphylinidae sp. BMNH 1274219. RNAcentral describes it as "tRNA-Cys". Lineage: Eukaryota; Metazoa; Arthropoda; Insecta; Coleoptera; Staphylinidae. The record is from RNAcentral.